This is a non-coding RNA of Podarcis lilfordi (Lilford's wall lizard), 75 nucleotides long. NCBI's taxonomy places the organism in Eukaryota, Metazoa, Chordata, Lepidosauria, Squamata, Lacertidae. The record is from the annotation of a GenBank genome assembly.
AGCCGCCGUGUCGCACAGUGGCAGAGCAUCUGGUAUGCAUUCAGAAGGCCCCAGCUUCAAUCCCUGGCAGUGCUG